UGCUGCGUUGAGAGAGAAAGCUGUUGCCACUGCGUCUCGGCUCUGUGUGGUGGUGCUGCGUCUCUGCUCUGAUUCGGUUGGUGAUGGUGCUACUGCUGCUGCUGCAUCUAUUUCGGUAAAUUUUGUUGCGUCUAUUUUGUUCAUAUGAAUGUUAAUUGAUUUUUUUUUUCUGGGUUUUUUUCAUAUGAUUUUAAUUGAUUUUUUGUUUCUAUGUUUUGUUCAUACGAUUGUUAAUUGAUUUUUUUUAUUCUUUCCUUUAUUUGCUAUGAUUUCGUUUCUCUUUGGGAUAAAUUUAGGAAGUAUGAGUCUAAUUUUUAUUGAAUGUAUGAUAUGUGAAGGCCCUACCUACUGUUAUUUUGGGCUAAUGUGUCAGCUACAGGUUGAUAUUUUGGGCUAAUGUGGAGAGUAGGGUAGAAUAGUUUAUGAAUAAAUUGAAAGGAUGGUCAUAUAGAUGGUUAAGGCUGAAAUUGCAUAAAAGUUCUCCUCAGCUUUUACCCAACAAGUAAGUGUGAUAUUUUUGAAACCAAGGUUAAACACAAGAGUUAGGAUUAUGGUAUUGCAUGUUCUUUCUGGAACUUUAAUUGCUAUCUCCAUUAUGGUUCUCUUAUAUCUUUUUGUUUACAUCAAAGAAAGAUGGGUUAUGGAAUAGGGACUUUCAGGUUUUUCUGUGAACUUCCCUUGUGUUCACUUGUUUAUGCUUCACUCUAUGCUUUCAUUAUUUCCUCAUUUUAUUUUUCCACUUUCAAUAUCAUUGGUUCAUCAUAGUUUCAAGGAUUUUGCAAUGAAAUUUGCUUAUUGAUGCAUUCGCAACCUUUUCUUUUUAUGUAUUUCUUAUUGCCAACUCCUAUGCUCUCAUUCGAUAUAAUGAUGUUGACUGCAGAGACAUAAACGGGGGAAGAAAAUAUUUGUUGUGACGCAUGAGGAGCUAAAGGUGAUUCAUUAAAAUACUCUCAACCUUGAACCACAUUCAAUUUCUAUUUUCCAGUCUGAUUUAUAUGUGCAUAUUCUUAUAUUGUAGCAUCUUAGGCGGAGGAUAAAAGACUUUGCAUCUACAUACAUGAAGAAUUGAAGAUUAAUAACUAUACUACUAUUCUUGUGAUGGGGUUGCUACACAGCAGGGGGCAAAAUGUCUAAAAGCAAACAGCGGGGGGCAAAAAGUUUAAGUGGCUUUGCUCUCACUCCUGUAAAAUUAUGGAAGUAUUUCGAAUAUUUUCAAUACAUCAAAAGAUAAUGUUAAAAGAUUUGGGAAUUAGAUUAAAAAGGCAAGAAUGUAGCACUAAUGCAGAUUAUUGAGAAAUGAUUCAAUUUUUGGGGGUUUAAUUGAAUCAUUAACCUUCUUGACAUUCCUCAGUUAAGCAUGAUAUAAGUAGUCAAUUUUACAACGCAGAUGAACUCAAAAAUUGGCUAAUCAAAUAUGAACUUCCUCGUCAGUAGUGAGUUUUGGUCGUGGAAGGGUAAAAAAGUAUCAAGAGUACGCAGCCAUGCAGGGCGAGGAUUUGAUGUUUUGAGAGCUGUUAAAGUGUCGUCUCCCUCUCAGCAAACUCUGACGGUAAUUUUUGAUAAAUAUUUUAUUUAAAUCAUGUUCUGUAAAAUACAAAAAAAAAAUCAUGUGCUGUAAUAUAUAUUUUAAUUAUAGGGUAAAAUAAUGAAAAUGUGAAACUUUCUUUUUUAAUAAAUGUUAAUACCAAAAUAUUUAUGGUAUGUCUGUGUAUGUAUUAGUUAAAACAAUUACUUUGUAGGUAUAAGUAUGACUUAAAUAUUUAUGCAUAAGUUAGAUAUUAUUUAAUUGUUUCUUAGAUUUUCAUUUUAAAUUUUUUGCAUCUAUUUAAGUGAUAAUCCUAUUUUGCACAAAAUGAAUUAUAGAGUAAACUAAGUAUAAAUUUAUGGAAUGAUUUUUUGGGUUAUUGUUUAAAAAUAGGAAUAAAAUAAGCUAAAAUUUAAAAUAAAAGAAUGAAAUGCGUUAUUGUAUCAAAUCUCUUGGGUGAAAACAAACUUUUCCCUUAAUUUUCCAGCUUUUAUUGAGGCAAUGUAUUACCUGAUCAUUUGCAAAAAUUUUGGACACUAUUUUGGGAAAUUUCAUGUUAUUCUUAGCCUAACUCAUACUUGCAGGUAGAGCUGGCAAAAUUUGACACGACCCGAUUACCCGACACGAACACGACAUAAAUAAAUAGGUAUGGGUCGUCAAAUUUAACACGAUUAUUAAAUGGGUCGGGUCCGGGUCAACACGAUUUUUUUCCGUGUCGGGUUUGGGUUAAAAUUCUUGACCCAUUUACCCGAUCAAUGACCCGAUUAUAUUUUCUAUUUUAAAAUAAUUUACAUAUUCUUAUAAUUAAAACUUAAAUAUUAGAGAUGAUUUUCUUUUUUUUAUUCUUUAAAAGGGUGAAUAUAAACACAAUGUUUUAUUUAUAAAAUUUUACAUACAUUUAGAGCUUCAAUAGUGUAAAUGUGUAAAAAUUAAUAGACAUGUAUAUUUUAUAAUAUUGAUAUAUAAUAUUUUAUAUAUAUAUAUAUAUAUAUAAUUAAAACCUCAAUAGUGUAAAUGUGUAAUAUAUUGGUAGAUAUGUAUAUUUUAUAAUAUCGAUAAAUUAUGUAUGUAUGCAUGUAUGUAUGUAUGUAUUUAUGUACAUAUGUAUGUAUGAUAGUGUGUAAAUAUUUGAUAUAACUUUUAUUCAAUAUAUAGAUAUUAAACGGGUUAUUGGGUAACCCGAUUAUUUUUCCGUGUCGGGUUUGGGUCUCAAUAUUUUGACACGAUUAUUAAAUGGGUCGGGUUUGGGUCGACCUAAAUUUGACACGACACGAAGCUGACACGACACGAACACAACCGGAUGACCCGUUUUGCCAGCUCUACUUGCAGGCUUCAACAAGUUGUAUUAAACCAUUAGUUGCAUACACCCGUUCACUGUUUGUUAAAAUGCAUUAAAUGUGUUCUUUUAUCAGCAGGUGACCGGCUCAUAGCCUUUUCCUUAGGUUUCUUCCAUUUGUCUUUGUGUCUCAUCUACAGCCGUCAGAUCAAAUCCAAUGCUCACUUUGCUAAGAGACAAAUGACUGGGGUGCCAGAGGCAGGACGCAAUGUAGUUAUGCCCUGUGUUUAUACAUAUUGCAUAUUCUUUAGAAUUAUUUUGUUAUUAAGUCAUCUCUAGUUCAUUAAAUUUAUGUAGCAAGUCAAAUGUUUUUUAAUUGUUCCCAAUUUUUUUUUGCUUUAAAAUGGUUUCCAUUUAUUCAACUGAUCUUCCUAUUAUGGACAACAUGAACUAUUGGGUAAACUUACUGUAAAUUCAUGGAAGAAUCUGUUUUAGUUAUUAUUUGAAACAUAGCAUUGAAAUGAAGUAUUGUGUAAAAUACAAGGAUGAAUUGACGUAUCCAACCUUCAUAGUGACAAGGAUUUUUUUCCCUUAUUUUUCAACCAAUUAUUUAGGGAACGCAUUGCCUGAUUUUGUAAUAAUGAUAUUUCAGACACUAUCUUCGAAACUUUCAUAUGGAUCUUACCCCAACCGGUACUUC
This 3501-nucleotide long non-coding RNA is filed under the name Citrus maxima (pomelo). Its description in RNAcentral is "long non-coding RNA (CMAX_LNC004140)". The record is from RNAcentral. Lineage: Eukaryota; Viridiplantae; Streptophyta; Magnoliopsida; Sapindales; Rutaceae.